Molecule: ribosomal RNA, 292 nt
Filed under: uncultured eukaryote
Lineage: Eukaryota
Description: partial 18S ribosomal RNA
Rfam family: Eukaryotic small subunit ribosomal RNA
Source: RNAcentral
GGUUGAUCCUGCCAGUAGUCAUAUGCUUGUCCCAAAGAUUAAGCCAUGCAUGUCCAAGUAUAUACCUUUAUACGGUGAAACUGCGAAUGGCUCAUUAUAUCAGUUAUAAUUUACUUGAUGAUUUCUUUACUACUUGGAUAACCGUGGUAAUUCUAGAGCUAAUACAUGCAAAAGGCCCGACUUGUGGAAGGGUCGUAUUUAUUAGAUAAAAACCAAUGCCAGCGAUGGCUUUUGGCGAGUCAUGAUAACUGCGCGGAUCGCAUGACCUCGAGUCGGCGACGCUUCAUUCAAA